This 674-nucleotide ribosomal RNA is filed under the name Turborotalita quinqueloba. Its description in RNAcentral is "partial 18S ribosomal RNA". It matches the Rfam family "Eukaryotic small subunit ribosomal RNA", at positions 1187 to 1470 of the family's 1831-position model. Lineage: Eukaryota; Foraminifera; Rotaliida; Globigerinidae. The record is from RNAcentral.
GGCUAAUUGACUCAACGCGCAACAAUUUACUUGGUCCGAACGCUUUGGGGACACAGUUAUUGUAUAGUUCUGAUAUGAGAGGUCUUUGUAGUCAACGUGUAGGUAGUUGUAUAUUAAAUAUGAAAGUUCUUUUAUGAUUAUGUGAUAGGUGGUGCAUGGCCGUCCUUAAUUCGUGGAGUGAUUUGUCUGCUUAAUUGCGCAUUGCAAAUUGUAAUUGAUCUUUUACCAGUCUCGUUCCGAUUGAUGUUGUGAAUAUUGUAAAUAUUGUUGUCGUCGAGUCAUAAUUGCCACUACGUCUGGUCCUUCGGGCAGAAUAGUCCUUAUGCUUGUGUACACAAAAUUCUCCACAAUGUUGUAGCCAUACUUGAUUGUAUGCGCUAUUAAUGUCUACGUGUGACACAUUCGUGGUUCAAGACCAGUUCGGCUGCUUGCACACAUUGUCAUCUCAACAUGAUUGGUCAGGCUGCUAGAGACCUUGUGUCUUGCCCCAAAGGUUGAUUAACACCGUGAGUGCAACGAGUGAGAUUGCAAGUCUUUGUUAUGUAGUGAACAACAUAUACCUACUACUUUAGUAGGAUUCCAACUACACAGUAUAACCAUUAAGGUGAAAUGAACUCAGGCGACUGCUAUACUUUAAGAUGGUGGAAGGUUGUGGCAUAACAGGUCUGUGAUGC